UACGGAGGGGACUAGCGUUGUUCGGAAUUACUGGGCGUAAAGCGCACGUAGGCGGCUUCGUAAGUCAGGGGUGAAAUCCCGAGGCUCAACCUCGGAACUGCCUUUGAUACUGCGAAUCUCGAGUCCGGAAGAGGUGAGUGGAAUUCCUAGUGUAGAGGUGAAAUUCGUAGAUAUUAGGAAGAACACCAGUGGCGAAGGCGGCUCACUGGUCCGGUACUGACGCUGAGGUGCGAAAGCGUGUGGAGCAAACAGG
Molecule: ribosomal RNA, 253 nt
Filed under: uncultured bacterium
Lineage: Bacteria
Description: partial 16S ribosomal RNA
Rfam family: Bacterial small subunit ribosomal RNA
Source: RNAcentral